ACCGGGAGAUUGUGGGAGGAUGUGAGCUCUCUGAGAAGGAGAAGAAGUAUUUACAUUAGAAGUCUGAUUCACAGGUCAGGGGCAAAGUGAAAAACAUCUGCAUUUUUAAAAGAGAGGUCAAAAGUCUGUCUGACUCACCUGUGCUAAGUGACUUGAGUGCCAUCUAAUCUAACUUCAAGAUCAUCAGGAUACUUGCCAACAAGGUCACAGUGGACUCCAUGGAGCAACUGCUCUCAGGAGGCAACAGAUGGCUUCGCUUGCUUAUUGGCUGAAGGUCUACAAGGACUCGAUUCACAUAUCUGAUCAUACCUGGAGUCCAGACUUUCUCCUGAUGCCUGACCCCUUUGCCAUUAGGUUGGCUCCAUAUGACUGAGUUCUGGCCAAUGAGGUAUGGGCAGAAGUGAUGUGUACCAAUUCCGAGCUCGACUUUUGAAAUCAUCCCAUGUGAUCCUCCCGCCAUCUACCAGCCAUCUCUUUUUGAUCUUGAAGGUCUUAUGCCUCAGAUUGUGUAACUACAGGAUGAAGGAAGGCCACUCAACCCACAUUUGGACAUGAUGUAAGCAAGAAAUAAACUUGUAAUGUAUUAAGCCACUAAA
RNAcentral lists this long non-coding RNA (596 nucleotides) under Pongo abelii (Sumatran orangutan). RNAcentral's name for it is "lincRNA". The record is from RNAcentral. Lineage: Eukaryota; Metazoa; Chordata; Mammalia; Primates; Hominidae.